AGUGAACGCUGGCGGUAGGCCUAACACAUGCAAGUCGAACGGCAGCACAGGAGAGCUUGCUCUCUGGGUCGCGAGUGGCGGACGGGUGAGGAAUACAUCGGAAUCUACUUUUUGGUGGGGGAUAAGGUAGGGAAACUUACGCUACUACCGCAUACGACCUACGGGUGAAAGCAGGGGACCUUCGGGCCUUGCGCGAUUGACUGAGCCGAUGUCGGAUUAGCUAGUUGGCGGGGUAAAGGCCCACCAAGGCGACGAUCCGUAGCUGGUCUGAGAGGAUGAUCAGCCACACUGGAACUGAGACACGGUCCAGACUCCUACGGGAGGCAGCAGUGGGGAAUAUUGGACAAUGGGCGCAAGCCUGAUCCAGCCAUACCGCGUGGGUGAAGAAGGCCUUCGGGUUGUAAAGCCCUUUUGUUGGGGAAGAAAUCCAGCUGGCUAAUACCCGGUUGGGAUGACGGUACCCAAAGAAUAAGCACCGGCUAACUUCGUGCCAGCAGCCGCAGUAA
This 506-nucleotide ribosomal RNA is filed under the name uncultured bacterium. Its description in RNAcentral is "partial 16S ribosomal RNA". It matches the Rfam family "Bacterial small subunit ribosomal RNA", at positions 29 to 523 of the family's 1533-position model. The record is from RNAcentral.